This 269-nucleotide ribosomal RNA is filed under the name uncultured zygomycete. Its description in RNAcentral is "partial 18S ribosomal RNA". It matches the Rfam family "Eukaryotic small subunit ribosomal RNA", at positions 548 to 822 of the family's 1831-position model. The record is from RNAcentral. Lineage: Eukaryota; Fungi.
UUGGAGGGCAAGUCUGGUGCCAGCAGCCGCGGUAAUUCCAGCUCCAAUAGCGUAUAUUAAAGUUGUCGCAGUUAAAAAGCUCGUAGUUGAAUUUUAGGCCUGGUUGGACGGUCUGCUCUAGGGUUUGUACUGUCCUGACUGGGUCUUACCUUCUGGUGAGCUGUCGUAUUGUUUACUCAGUGCGGCAGGGAACCAGGACUUUUACUUUGAAAAAAUUAGAGUGCUUAAAGCAGGCAUUCGCUUGAAUACAUUAGCAUGGAAUAAUAGAA